RNAcentral lists this ribosomal RNA (114 nucleotides) under Escherichia coli. RNAcentral describes it as "partial 23S ribosomal RNA". It matches the Rfam family "Bacterial large subunit ribosomal RNA", at positions 1 to 104 of the family's 2925-position model. Lineage: Bacteria; Pseudomonadati; Pseudomonadota; Gammaproteobacteria; Enterobacterales; Enterobacteriaceae. The record is from RNAcentral.
GGGUUGUGAGGUUAAGCGACUAAGCGUACACGGUGGAUGCCCUGGCAGUCAGAGGCGAUGAAGGACGUGCUAAUCUGCGAUAAGCGUCGGUAAGGUGAUAUUAACCGUUAUAAC